CAGCACUGUAGCUAGGGAAAGAAUUGCAGCAUUACAACUAAAUAUUUAUAGCAAACACUUGCUAAAAGCUCUAUACAGUAAAUAAUUACCAUAUUGCUUCAGUCAGGACUUCUCUGAUGCAAGCCAGGCAGAACCCAUUCCUGUCAGUAUUUUUGGAUGGGAAGAAGGCAUUGCACAUAUCUCAGUUGGGCGCUCCAGAGCCACAACAAGAAGGAUAUAGAACCCUGGAGACACCUGUCCCAUCUCUGACACCACCAACAAUGCCUGUACCAAGAUGAGACACUAUCUGAUUUUAAAGCUCUGGAAAGUGGUGUUGCACAGGACAUCCGCCUCUCUCUAAGCACAGGAGCCAGGAGACCCUCCACCCAAAGCCUCCUCAGUGUAUCCCAGAGGAUUAUGCCACGCGGUAUACAAAAUAAAUACGGAAGAAAUAAUCCUCAAUCAAUCAGAGGUUUCUCCACCACAGCAUGAUCCCAAACCCAUUGAAAUCCAGCAUGUCUCUACGCUGUAUAAGCAGCUUCCUCAGUUUUCUCCAAACUACUUUCAGUCCUCUCCGUUACAGUAAGAUUGUCCUUGCUAUAGAGACUACUGACUUUUUCCUACGUGUGUCAAGGCUGAUCUUUCUGCUGCCCUUCUGCUUCACUUCACUGAAUCUGUGGUGAGACACUAAAGCUCAUUCUUCUUACACUGAGAAUUACUCCCCAG
Molecule: long non-coding RNA, 705 nt
Filed under: Calidris pugnax (ruff)
Lineage: Eukaryota; Metazoa; Chordata; Aves; Charadriiformes; Scolopacidae
Description: lncRNA (ENSCPUG00000012362.1)
Source: RNAcentral